Molecule: long non-coding RNA, 1563 nt
Organism: Vombatus ursinus (common wombat)
Lineage: Eukaryota; Metazoa; Chordata; Mammalia; Diprotodontia; Vombatidae
Exons: 5
Source: RefSeq, a predicted model, not a curated record
GGGUGCUAGGCAUUGUGCUAAGUACUGUGGAGGCCACAAAGGAGAAAAAGACAUGGUCAUUCACCUCAAGGAGUUCUUUCCAGACUGGAAUACAUCAUUGGAUUAGCCAGUAACAGGAUGGUAGCCCUGAGGAUAUCCUUUUGGCCUCCAGAAGGCUGAGAGACAGCAUGUGGAAAUGAAGGGGACAAAACCUCUUGUGGUAUCUCAGGGGAAAAAACAAAAGGAGAGGAGUUGAGUUUGGCCUGACCUUCCAACCCAGGGAUCUCUAUAAGGAGGGAUUGUACUUGAUCAAAAGCCUCUCGCUAUUGCUGAGUAAGGAGUAAUCAACCUUUGAGGCUACUGUCACUCAGACUUGGUGCCGGACAUCCUCUGUGGACUUAAUACAUAUUCCUGGCACACGGCUAAUUCCUGAUUUCAUGCCUUAUUUGACAUAUCAGAGGAUCACCGAGCAAAGACACUUCUGGUUGCAGGAUCCUCAAAGAAGGAGGUUUCUACCAGAGGAGUCGAGCUUAGACUCCUGGAGAAAAGAGGAACAACUGUGCCUUCAGCACUGGAGAGGCGAAAAAGAAUAGAGCCCUGAGACAAACUGGACUUCCCUUUUCUACUACUGGUCUUGCCAUUCCUCAAGGGCACGGAGAUGGAUAUCCAGCACGCCAACAGAAGCAUAUGUUAAGAGAGAAUUCUGGCUGGUGGAAUGCCAGCCAGCAGGAAGUUGGCAAUAAUAGGGCCAUGACGUUUGGCGCCCGGAGCCACAUCUUGAGCAGGACUGUGGGCACCAAAGUCCCAGAUGAAGGACAGCUCCUUCAUCACAGACCCUUAUCUUACACCCAGCAAGUCAGCCAGCCACCCUUCACCCUACUCACUCAGCCAUAAAUUUCCAGCCUGAAAUGAAUGCAAUAUUUGGCUUAAAAAUCAAUAAAAUCAGUCUUUUUUCCCCCUCCUUUUUUUUGAGGGAAGCCUGAAACUAAAGCAAAAAGACUUAGGCUUUCUAAUGGCUGGAUAAGGAAACACUAACCUGGGACAGCCUCUCUGUCCAAUCCCAAUCCUGCUCCCCCAUCCAUCUGCAAGGCAGUGAUAGUCCUUGGUCUUCAGACACUUCUCCCCUCAUGUUUUCUUUCUCUUUCUUUAUGGGUUUCCAAACUCUGACAACUCAAGAACCCUUUGUGGCUCAUGGAAGCUUCUGGCCUCUAGAGUACCUGGGGCAGAGGUCUAUGCAGAGAAUUUCAGAAUUCCUGGGGGUGAUGCUUGAGCAUAAGAGACAGACAGAGAGUUCACUAAGAAAGAAAGGAAUCUCUGAAACAGGAAAGGGAGGCUUGCAGCCUUCCGUGAGCAGAUGGGCCUCACCUCCAUUUACCUCCACUAAUCCUAACCAGCCCCAGGUGAUCAGGGAGGGGCUGCCUCCGUUCUUGAGGUUCUACUGCAGCAAGGGAACCUGGUUUUCCCCGGAUGAGCUCCGUUCCCACAGCUGCCCUGCCCUGGGCAGCACUGCCAAUACCCUGCAGGACGUGGGGGUGUUAGCCAGCAGAGGCGCUCUGCCUGCCUGGGGUGGUGUCUAGGUAUGAG